UACGGAGGGAGCUAGCGUUGUUCGGAUCUACUGGGCGUAAAGCGCACGUAGGCGGCGCCGUAAGUCAGGGGUGAAAUCCCGGAGCUCAACUCCGGAACUGCCCUUGAAACUGCAGUGCUAGAAUCUUGGAGAGGCGAGUGGAAUUCCGAGUGUAGAGGUGAAAUUCGUAGAUAUGCGGAAGAACACCAGUGGCGAAGGCGACUCGCUGGACAAGUAUUGACGCUGAGGUGCGAAAGCGUGGGGAGCAAACAGG
This 253-nucleotide ribosomal RNA is filed under the name uncultured bacterium. Its description in RNAcentral is "partial 16S ribosomal RNA". It matches the Rfam family "Bacterial small subunit ribosomal RNA", at positions 524 to 776 of the family's 1533-position model. The record is from RNAcentral.